This 84-nucleotide transfer RNA is filed under the name Parcubacteria group bacterium. RNAcentral describes it as "tRNA-Leu". It matches the Rfam family "tRNA". From Rfam's summary of the family: Transfer RNA (tRNA) molecules are approximately 80 nucleotides in length. Their secondary structure includes four short double-helical elements and three loops (D, anti-codon, and T loops). The record is from RNAcentral.
GCCGAGGUGGCGAAAUUGGUAGACGCAGUAGACUCAAAAUCUGCCGGUGGCAACACCAUGAGGGUUCAAGUCCCUCCCUCGGCA